Molecule: ribosomal RNA, 449 nt
Filed under: uncultured bacterium
Lineage: Bacteria
Description: bacterial SSU rRNA
Rfam family: Bacterial small subunit ribosomal RNA
Source: RNAcentral
UUCCCAGACUCCUACGGGAGGCAGCAGUCGGGAAUAUUGCGCAAUGGAGGAAACUCUGACGCAGUGACGCCGCGUAUAGGAAGAAGGUCUUCGGAUUGUAAACUAUUGUCGUUAGGGAAGAGAAAGGACAGUACCUAAGGAGGAAGCUCCGGCUAACUACGUGCCAGCAGCCGCGGUAAUACGUAGGGAGCGAGCGUUAUCCGGAUUUAUUGGGUGUAAAGGGUGCGUAGACGGGAAAAUAAGUUAGCUGUGAAAUCCCUCGGCUCAACUGAGGAACUGCAACUAAAACUAUUUUUCUUGAGUGCAGGAGAGGAAAGUGGAAUUCCUAGUGUAGCGGUGAAAUGCGUAGAUAUUAGGAGGAACACCAGUGGCGAAGGCGGCUUUCUGGACUGAAACUGACGCUGAGGCUCGAAAGCGUGGGGAGCGAACAGGAUUAGAUACCCCGGUAA